GAAACAAUGUGUAAAGGAUAUGAGCUUUUACCUGUUUUUAUACUCUGAAUUUGCCUGUUUUCGUAAUCAAGAUUGCUUCCGUUUUGUGAAAACUGACAACUAAGAUUUACUUCCAUUUUCAGAUCAAUGCUUUUAUGGUAUUAAUUGUGAUUUUAAAACCAGAAUCGUAAAUUUCUUCAUUCCAUUCUUGCUUUUCUUGGGAAUUCUUGCUGUUGGAC
RNAcentral lists this unclassified non-coding RNA (218 nucleotides) under Hevea brasiliensis (rubber tree). Lineage: Eukaryota; Viridiplantae; Streptophyta; Magnoliopsida; Malpighiales; Euphorbiaceae. The record is from RNAcentral.